Molecule: long non-coding RNA, 872 nt
Filed under: Betta splendens (Siamese fighting fish)
Lineage: Eukaryota; Metazoa; Chordata; Actinopteri; Anabantiformes; Osphronemidae
Description: lncRNA (ENSBSLG00000022001.1)
Source: RNAcentral
AUGAAAAGCCACUGGUGGAGCUGUGUGCUGGGGUUAGUCUGCAUGGCUGCUGAGGUCGCGCACAGCACCUGGACAGUUCUCCAAAGUCCCGCUUCCACCCAUCGCGCAAAAGUCAACUCCUCUGCUGAGAUCAAAUGCUCCACAUCCUCAACAGAAGUGAUGGGGCUCUGCCUGCGUAGGAGAUUCCACAGCAAAAGGGACAUUGUGUUCCUGUCCCUAAACAAAGGAGAAGUAAUGAAAGAUACUACGGCUACAGAAUUUAAAGGGCGAAUUCAGGUGACUCCGAACAGGAAUGUCAAGCAGGGCAUUGAGCUGACCCUGCAACUGUCCCUGCUGCAGCUCGAAGACACAGACUUGUAUUACUGCGAGUGGAAUUCUCUUGACUCACAGUCGAUGCAGGAAUCCAAGUCCAGCAAUGGAACCAUUUUGAUCGUCAGGGAGUUUGAUGCCCAUGAAGAAUGCGAGUCCAAGCUGCUGGAUCACGUCCUGAUUUCCUUAAGUGCGGCUGCAUUAAUUUUCCUACUGUUUUUUUGCAUUGGAACGAUGAUUCUGAAAUGCCCAAGAUUCAAGAAGCGCUUCAGACCGGCCAGGGUCAUAACAUCAAACAGACCGAACAGGCCACAACACGUGUGUCCUCAGCGGAGCAACCAGCAUUACCCUUACUGGAUAACGACUGAAGAUAACCUGGACUACAGGGACAUUCUGUAAUGAUGACAUGAUAAGGGACAAGUAUUCAUUGGAAAACUGGUCUCAACUAUGAAGUCAAUAUAAGAUAGCAGUAUACAGGGGACAUCUUUAACAGCUAGCCCUCUUUUGUUUUUCUGCUCUUCGUUUCCUUUUACAAAUAAAUCUGCCUUUGUAUGUAUCUGUCA